GCGGUUGUGGCUCAGAGGUAGAGCACUCACCUACCAGGUGUGAGGCACUGGGUUCGAUCCUCAGCACCACA
Molecule: non-coding RNA, 71 nt
Organism: Ictidomys tridecemlineatus (thirteen-lined ground squirrel)
Lineage: Eukaryota; Metazoa; Chordata; Mammalia; Rodentia; Sciuridae
Source: Rfam